RNAcentral lists this transfer RNA (75 nucleotides) under Halobacteriovoraceae bacterium. Its description in RNAcentral is "tRNA-Thr". It matches the Rfam family "tRNA". Rfam says of the family: Transfer RNA (tRNA) molecules are approximately 80 nucleotides in length. Their secondary structure includes four short double-helical elements and three loops (D, anti-codon, and T loops). Further hydrogen bonds mediate the characteristic L-shaped molecular structure. tRNAs have two regions of fundamental functional importance: the anti-codon, which is responsible for specific mRNA codon recognition, and the 3' end, to which the tRNAs corresponding amino acid is attached (by aminoacyl-tRNA synthetases). tRNAs cope with the degeneracy of the genetic code in two manners: having more than one tRNA (with a specific anti-codon) for a particular amino acid; and 'wobble' base-pairing, i.e. permitting non-standard base-pairing at the 3rd anti-codon position. RNAcentral also lists the same sequence under 1 other name. The record is from RNAcentral. Lineage: Bacteria; Pseudomonadati; Bdellovibrionota; Bacteriovoracia; Bacteriovoracales; Halobacteriovoraceae.
GCUCACAUGGCUCAGGGGUAGAGCGUUUCCUUGGUAAGGAAGAGGUCCCGGGUUCAAAUCCCGGUGUGAGCUCCA